RNAcentral lists this microRNA precursor (59 nucleotides) under Erinaceus europaeus (western European hedgehog). RNAcentral's name for it is "miRNA (ENSEEUG00000019363.1)". The record is from RNAcentral. Lineage: Eukaryota; Metazoa; Chordata; Mammalia; Eulipotyphla; Erinaceidae.
GUGUGUGUGUGUGUGUGUGUGUGUGUGUGUCCCACGUCCAAGCCCAGCACCCACCACAC